RNAcentral lists this ribosomal RNA (465 nucleotides) under uncultured Klebsiella sp. RNAcentral describes it as "bacterial SSU rRNA". It matches the Rfam family "Bacterial small subunit ribosomal RNA", at positions 338 to 795 of the family's 1533-position model. The record is from RNAcentral. Lineage: Bacteria; Pseudomonadati; Pseudomonadota; Gammaproteobacteria; Enterobacterales; Enterobacteriaceae.
CCUACGGGGGGCAGCAGUGGGGAAUAUUGCACAAUGGGCGCAAGCCUGAUGCAGCCAUGCCGCGUGUGUGAAGAAGGCCUUCGGGUUGUAAAGCACUUUCAGCGGGGAGGAAGGCGGUGAGGUUAAUAACCUCAUCGAUUGACGUUACCCGCAGAAGAAGCACCGGCUAACUCCGUGCCAGCAGCCGCGGUAAUACGGAGGGUGCAAGCGUUAAUCGGAAUUACUGGGCGUAAAGCGCACGCAGGCGGUCUGUCAAGUCGGAUGUGAAAUCCCCGGGCUCAACCUGGGAACUGCAUUCGAAACUGGCAGGCUAGAGUCUUGUAGAGGGGGGUAGAAGUCCAGGUGUAGCGGUGAAAUGCGUAGAGAUCUGGAGGAAUACCGGUGGCGAAGGCGGCCCCCUGGACAAAGACUGACGCUCAGGUGCGAAAGCGUGGGGAGCAAACAGGAUUAGAUACCCCGGUAGUC